GUCACGGCCACAUCCCCAGUGGCUGACACUUGGGGGCGCUCAGUAAAUCGAGCAGGACAGAUUCUGGCACUAACUUCAGACCAGUUCUCCGAGUUAGGAGACGGAGCUCGUCCACGACGACAGAGCGAGUUCGGGUCCUACCGCCCCCCGCGCGAACCGAGACGCCCCAGCGAGUGGAAGCCCAUCGGCGAACCCAGGGCUGGUCCCAGGAGUCCCGCCUCGGAGAAGGUAGCUCCAGCUGCUGCGGGCGCCCGGCACCCAAUCCCCGGGGUGGGCACGCCACCAGCACGGACUGGGGUCGGGGGCCUGGCUGCGGAAGAGCCCUCUGGCUGUGGGAACCGGGUCCCCGAACCGGUGCGGAGACCCGAAGGGAGGUGCAGACGGGGGACAGCAGCGGCAGGAGGGGAGAACCCCUGGCGAGCGCCCGACCCUCGAGCGCCGCGAAGUCCGCGGGGCGCGCUCUUCAGGGUGUGCGGCUGCGGUUCCGUGCGCGCCCCGUUUGCCGAGCGCGCUCCCGGGUCCCUUGGAGAGCGCCGGGGGUGCAGAAGGUGCGCUCCCGGGGACUGUGAGCGCGGCGUCGGGAUCGCAGAGCUGCCCGCAAACUUUAUCCGGCAAGUUCUAGGGGUGCGCGGCCAACUUUGCACGGGCGCCUUUCCCCCGGGCGGUGAACGCGGACAGCGUGCGGACCCGGCCACCAGUUUUGCAGAGGGCGCCCUCCAGGGGCGGUGCGCGCCGGCCGCGCGAGCAGCAGGCGUCGCCCGCUGUCCGGCCUGCCCGGGGCUGCCCCGCGCGACUCCGCCCCCUGCCACGCCGGGGCUUUUACUUUCGCUUUCGUUUGGGCGGCCUCAGACCCUCAGCGCCGAGGGACCGCGACGGACGCCAGCGCUGGCCGCCCCGCCGCCCGCCGCGCCGGGGCCUGGUAACUUCCGCCCCCGCCCCCGCUUGCGCCCCUCCGGUCAGCGUGCGCUCCUUCCCUCCCUCCACAACCGCCCUCCCACCUGGCCCUGCUCCCCCUCUCAUCCCCCCAGCCGGCCCGCAACGAAACUUUGGGGAAAGAAAGGGCCCUCGCGCCCCCCGCCCCCCUCCGGCAUCGCUGGCUCGGCUCAGCGCGCCCUCCCUUCCCCGCUAACCAGCUGGGACUGCCGGGCAGUUCGGGCUGUUCGGGAUUUGGAAAAAGGGGGCGUGGAUUGA
This 1191-nucleotide long non-coding RNA is filed under the name Felis catus (domestic cat). RNAcentral describes it as "lncRNA (ENSFCAG00000048970.1)". The record is from RNAcentral. Lineage: Eukaryota; Metazoa; Chordata; Mammalia; Carnivora; Felidae.